UGGGGAAUCUUGCGCAAUGGACGAAAGUCUGACGCAGCCACGCCGCGUGAGUGAAGAAGGCCUUCGGGUCGUAAAGCUCUGUCGUCGGGGACGAAAACGCUUAGGGUUAACAGCCCUAGGAAUUGACGGUACCCGAGAAGGAAGCACCGGCUAACUCUGUGCCAGCAGCCGCGGUAAUACAGAGGGUGCAAGCGUUGCUCGGAAUUAUUGGGCGUAAAGGGUAGGUAGGUGGUCUCAUUUGUCUAGGGUGAAAGCCUGGGGCUUAACCCCAGAAGUGCCCUAGAAACGGUGAGACUGGAGUACUGGAGAGGGUCGUGGAAUUCCCGGUGUAGCGGUGAAAUGCGUAGAGAUCGGGAGGAACACCAGAGGCGAAGGCGGCGACCUGGACAGUUACUGACACUCAACUACGAAAGCGUGGGGAGCAAACAGG
Molecule: ribosomal RNA, 430 nt
Filed under: uncultured delta proteobacterium
Lineage: Bacteria; Deltaproteobacteria
Description: bacterial SSU rRNA
Rfam family: Bacterial small subunit ribosomal RNA
Source: RNAcentral